UCCCAGUUCGGAUUGUAGUCUGNAACCCGACUACAUGAAGCUGGAAUCGCUAGUAAUCGCGGAUCAGAAUGCCGCGGUGAAUACGUUCCCGGGUCUUGUACACACCGCCCGUCACACCAUGGGAGUCAGUAACGCCCGAAGUCAGUGACCUAACCGAGAGGGAGGAGCUGCCGAAGGCGGGACGGAUAACUGGGGUGAAGUCGUAACAAGGUAAC
This 215-nucleotide ribosomal RNA is filed under the name uncultured bacterium. RNAcentral describes it as "partial 16S ribosomal RNA". It matches the Rfam family "Bacterial small subunit ribosomal RNA", at positions 1286 to 1500 of the family's 1533-position model. The record is from RNAcentral.